This 253-nucleotide ribosomal RNA is filed under the name uncultured bacterium. Its description in RNAcentral is "partial 16S ribosomal RNA". It matches the Rfam family "Bacterial small subunit ribosomal RNA", at positions 524 to 776 of the family's 1533-position model. The record is from RNAcentral.
UACAGAGGUGGCAAGCGUUGUUCGGAAUUACUGGGCGUAAAGGGCGCGUAGGCGGCCUACUAAGUCAGACGUGAAAUCCCCCGGCUUAACCUGGGAACUGCGUCUGAUACUGGAAGGCUUGAGGAUGGGAGAGGGAUGUAGAGUUCCAGGUGUAGCGGUGAAAUGCGUAGAUAUCUGGAGGAAUACCGGUGGCGAAGGCGGCAUCCUGGACCAUUACUGACGCUGAGGCGCGAAAGCUAGGGGAGCAAACGGG